Molecule: long non-coding RNA, 1083 nt
Organism: Prionailurus viverrinus (fishing cat)
Lineage: Eukaryota; Metazoa; Chordata; Mammalia; Carnivora; Felidae
Exons: 3
Source: RefSeq, a predicted model, not a curated record
GCUGAGCCGAAACCAAGAGUCAACGCUCAACUAACUGAGCCAUCCAGGCGCCCUAAAAUGGGAGAAAAAAAAAAAAGGAACAAUUUUCAUAAGAUCAAGUAAGCCAUGGUAACUUGAAAAACGUCGGGAAUCACCGGUUUACAAGUUGUGCGUGAACGGAAGAAUAACCAUCACAGCCCCAGCUGGCCGCUUCAUGCCAAUGGCAGCAAACAAGGUCAACUCGAGAAAGAUCAAUUAAGCGUUUGGAAGUCCUGAGGGAACAUCCGUAUCCUAUCUCGACACUGUUUGUCUCUCUCCGUCUCCACCACCGUCACCUCUGAUCCAGCCUGGUGCCACCAUGCAGACGAAACUUCCGUCACACCUGUCUCCAGCCAAAGGUUUGGUGGUUUCCCGUCUCGUUGUAAGCGGGAGCUUUGUGCCGAGCGUUCGAGGCCCCCGCCGCAUUCUGGGCUCCUAUAUCUAGGCCAUAGGAGCCUAGAAAGGUGUGCCACGCUUAGGGCUCUUGGUGGAAAAGUACAGAAACCAUUCCCGUGAACCUGGGCAGAAACACUUUGUUACGAGGGCAUUUUGUAGCUCCCAGAAUGACCAGAAUGCUCCCGGAACCAGGCUUGGACAUGGACAGGACCAAGGGCACUAGGUGUCUGACCAGGGGCCGUCUUGUUGGAACGCCACCAUAGAUGUCUGCUGUCCACCCCUCCACAUAGCAGCUGCGAUCGAUGAUCUUUGUAAAACUUAACUCUGACUGUGAAACUCUCCUGCUGCUACGUCGUAAGGAAUUUCUUUGGUCUCUGUCCCAGGUUCCUAGCGUGGAGCUUCUAAAACCCACCGGAUUUCCCAAGUGAUGGGAGUGCCACUGUUUCGUGGUGGUUCUUGAUGGUUUAUGCUGACGAGAUAGCCCACCCCAGAAGCACCAAGCCUGUGGUCAGUCGGGCUGUGAGCACGUGGUGCCAGCCUGCCCUCGGGGGAGGAGAGGCUGUUGAAGGUGCAGUCCAGGGGCUCCUGGGUGGCUCAGUCAGUUGACCGUCCGACUUUGGCUUAGGUCAUGAUCUCGUGCUCCAUGAGUUCAAGCCCCGCAUCGGGCUC